Molecule: long non-coding RNA, 1532 nt
Organism: Pezoporus flaviventris
Lineage: Eukaryota; Metazoa; Chordata; Aves; Psittaciformes; Psittacidae
Exons: 3
Source: RefSeq, a predicted model, not a curated record
UUCUAAGACACAGAAAAACAGACUGCAGUCUGUUUUCUGUGCUGUUUCACUGAAAAUUAAUUACAAUGCAGAACGCACAUGCAGCCCUUGAAGGAGAGACUAGAACUAAGGCAUGCAGAACUCCCACAUUCUCAGGCAUAUUUCCAUAUGAACCCACCAAUUUGUGUGAUGAAGUAUGGAAGUACACAGUUCUAGAAGUAAAAAUGGUGGCACAAAUCUAUUUUUGUGAUUCAGAAGGUCCAAACAGUUCCAAAGGGCAAUUCAGUGUCACUAUGUAUUUGGGAGUAGUUGAAAAGAGAUAACCAGUAGGCGACACUGAGUAAAUGGGCCUGUUUAAAGCAGGUUCUUCAGAGAAAACUGUGGCUUAGGUGUGUCUGUCCAUACAGGUUUCACAAUACCACAUCCUCUUUUCAGAUCAGACACUCGGCAAGAAGGAAGCUGUCGUCUGCAUACUAGCCUCAGAAAUGCUAAAGCUGGAAUUUCAGACUUCACCGGGAUGACUUCAAUAUAAUUGAAUCCUUCUCCUGUAAUGCAUGAAACAGUCCAACAGAGCCUAUACUCCAGCAGUAAGAGCAGCAUGGCUGUAAUGCCAGUGUAACUCUGGUUCUGACAGUCACUUCUGAGUACUCUGGAUGAAAGCGGUUGCCAGACCCUGGAACCAUAUGAAAACACAAGCCAGAAGCUGCAGGCAAUGGGAGGAACUCCAGGAGAAUCCCCCAUCGCUGAGGUGAGUGCCAGUUUGCUAUCAACCCUCAGCCCCAGAUUUCCCACAUCAGACUUUUGCUAAUAUGCAGAUUUUUCACAACCUUGGUCUGUGCAUUACAAAUCACAGCAAAAGCAUUUCAGCUUCACAGAUGGUAGGUUUGGUCUUAGGCUGAGAGUACUACAAGUUGUCUUGGAAAUUUUAAAUCUGGGCUUGCUUUCAAGGGAAUCUGAAGUGUUUGUUCCAACAAACACAUCAAUUUUAUUAACUAGCCACACCUCCAAUAUUAAAACUCAACCCCAGUCUUUAUUCUGUGACAGAACGUGCCACUGUUGACAUUCUGAUUAAAUCCAAACAUCCUAGAGAUGUAAAAUGCAAACCAUAAGAAUACAGAGCUGUAGUAAUAAAUCUGUAGAGAGGUGAGGAAUUCAAAGCCACAAAUACAACUUUUCUGAUUACAUAUUGCAAUAAAACUAUAUUUUCUAGAGAGAUUAUAUGCUUGCAGCUAUUUGUGACGUUACCAGUAGCACUGUAAUCUUUAAUUCAUAUUUACAAACCUGAUAUCCUCAUUCUCGGUGAUUCAGUAAAUUGCAAAAGUGUUGGUUUUGUUUUUUAAAAAGCUGUCUCAAUAAACCCUAAGAUAUAUUUUAAUUCUUUGAAGGUAAAUUGAAUAAUUCUCCAGUGAAAAUUUACUGCUUUGACAUGGAGAGGAAUGAGAAACAGAAGCUUCUCGUUGAAACUUUAUGUUAGAAAGCUGGACCUGCCUGAACUUAAAUAAUUACAUUACCUUUCUUGCUCUUGCUGUCUUACCAAGGAAAAUAGUUUCAAG